This 100-nucleotide signal recognition particle RNA is filed under the name Oscillospiraceae bacterium. RNAcentral's name for it is "signal recognition particle sRNA small type". It matches the Rfam family "Bacterial small signal recognition particle RNA". Rfam says of the family: The signal recognition particle (SRP) is a universally conserved ribonucleoprotein involved in the co-translational targeting of proteins to membranes. Archaeal SRP consists of a 7S RNA and homologues of the eukaryotic SRP19 and SRP54 proteins. Lineage: Bacteria; Bacillati; Bacillota; Clostridia; Eubacteriales; Oscillospiraceae. The record is from RNAcentral.
AUUAAGGCCCUGUACGAUCUGGAUGCCGCGAACCAUGUCAGGCGGGGAACCGAGCAGCAUUAAGCGGUCUUCUCGGUGCGAUGCAGAAAGUCUUGCGCCG